AGGGCACCGGCUGUCUCUGGCACCUCUCCGCGUAACCUCCCUUCCCCUUACCCCCGAGGGCGCUGCUGGCCGGGCCGCCGAAGCCUUUCGUCCCCGAGCGCCCCCCGUCGCGGAAGUCCGGUUGGAGUCCCAGCCUGGCCCGUGGCCCAGCUGUCCUUUACCUCUUCCCCAGCCAGCGGCACAGAGGGACUUCAGAACCCAGAACUGAAGCCAACCACCUCUGUGUGCAAUACCCUGACACACACCCCUAGCCCUUCCUCCUUCCCCGCCCCUCUGCUUCUCAAGUGUGGGGAUGAAUCAUUUGUCCCCGCUGCAGUUGUCCCUCUUGGGCAGGGUCAGGGGGUGUCUUAAUGGGACCUUAGAGUGGGUUUGCUGGCUGACCGUCUUCUAGGCCGCUCCUCCACCCUGCCCACCUUCUUCCUACCAGACUGCCCUGGCUUUCUAGGCGGCAUUCUGGAGCCACCACUGCUUUUAUGGGUGAGGGAUGGGGACAGAGCUGGCCAGCCGAGCACCUUGGUCCUUUAUCCUCUGCACAAAUAUUGACUGAGCAUCCUCCACAGGCCUGGCCUGCGUGGGCACCGGGGACUGGUUGGUGAACCUCUCAGAGUGGAGUGGAGGAGAAGCAGGGUGCACGAGCAGAGCAGUAUCAUGUGAUCAGUGGCCCCUGGGCUGGAGAGGACGGCCAGGAAUCCCAGCUCUGCCACCACAUCUGACAUAACUGAGGCUGCCCACCCCAGUGGCCUGUUUCCUCAUCCAGAGACUGGGAAGGUGCUUCGUCUGGCUGAACCUCUGAUGCUCCUCAGUUCUGACCAAAUGGUUAUUUCUGAAGCAGAGGAGCAGUCAGCCUCCCUCUCCACCCGGAAUCUCUGAUUCCCGACUAUAGCUCUCCAUCACUCCUGGACUGGGGGGCAGAGAGCAGUGGAUGGCUUGAAAACUCCAGGCAUUCUGGGAAAGCCUCGUCCCCGAUGUAUGGACAAGCAGCUGCUGCCUCCAUCCCACACAGCAGAAUGGUUAGCACAGCAGUUUCCUGGGUCAGAGGAACCUGCUGUGUGUUUGCUGGGUGACUUUGUGUGAGUGAUUCAGCCUCUCUGCGGCUCAGUUUCCUCAUCCAGAAGACAGAGGUACUGGUCCUCACCCUGUAGGGCUGCUGGGAACACUGGAUGGUAACGUGUGUAGAGCACUCAGCAGUGUCUGGCACGGGGAUGAGGAAACUGAGAGCCGAAAAGGUUAAGCAACUUUCCCAAAUUUACAGAGCGGGUCCCUGAGGUAUUUGGAAAUUUGUUAAGGAAUUUGGGGGCUCAAGAUUCUGGUUUUUAAAUAUCUUUCGACUGUCCAUGUGGCGGCGAUCUGUGCCACCCACCUUGUUAUUUCAGUCUGUUCUGGGAGAUGGAUGGCCCAGGCUCUGAUUUAAGAUCUGCCGCGGCAAUCCUCAAUUUCCCAUGUCUCAUGGGGGACAGUGACAAGGCAGCAAGCACACGGAAGACGGCUUAGCUGUGCCCAGACUCCAGGCCCAAGAGCCCACAGCACUUGCAGAAAAAGUUCCAACCAGAAAAACCUGGGCAAAAACAGACAGGCCCAGCAGACCUUUCCCGCAGGUGAUGUGGAAACCCAUUCAUCAUAGAGCCGGAGGGGCCCCAGAGGUGAGCUGAACCAACUCCCUCAUCUCACAGCUGGGCACACUGAGGCCCAGAGAAGUUGCAUGACUUACCCAAGGCCAUGCAGAAGUGAACUGAGCCUCCAACUGCAUCUCCUUUUUCAGGAAAAGCCCUCUUACUUGCCUCCUAUCCCCCAGUUCUGCCCUGUUCUGGAUGAAUUCCUCUUCUGGAUGAAUCAACCUCUCUGUUGUUGAAAUAAAACAAAAAGGUGGGGGCCUUGCUUCUGCCAGCCACUGUACAUAUGAUCCCAUUUCCUCCUCUUACCAUCCCCGUGGGUCAAUGGGUCCGAGGUUGCCAGGCUUUGCCAGCUCAUGGAUUCGGAACACCGCAUCUCACUGAAACCCCUCUCCUGCCCCACCAGGUCCUCCAGCCAAAGCCCCUUGAAAAGCUACUUCACCUACAAGGGUUUCUAUAAAUCCCUCAAAGGGACAUUAAGUUACUCCCAGACCAACCUGUCACCUGCAUUCACCUCUAGCAUGUUCUCUGCUCCUGCUCUAAGAAACUGCCAGAGGCAAAGCAGCUACUUGAAGGAGUGCCUCAUCCUAGCCUCA
Long non-coding RNA from Symphalangus syndactylus (siamang), 2206 nucleotides. RefSeq lists it as uncharacterized. The record is from RefSeq and is a predicted model, not a curated record. Lineage: Eukaryota; Metazoa; Chordata; Mammalia; Primates; Hylobatidae.